Molecule: ribosomal RNA, 253 nt
Filed under: Escherichia coli
Lineage: Bacteria; Pseudomonadati; Pseudomonadota; Gammaproteobacteria; Enterobacterales; Enterobacteriaceae
Description: partial 23S ribosomal RNA
Rfam family: Bacterial large subunit ribosomal RNA
Source: RNAcentral
AAGGCGAGGCCGAAAGGCGUAGUCGAUGGGAAACAGGUUAAUAUUCCUGUACUUGGUGUUACUGCGAAGGGGGGACGGAGAAGGCUAUGUUGGCCGGGCGACGGUUGUCCCGGUUUAAGCGUGUAGGCUGGUUUUCCAGGCAAAUCCGGAAAAUCAAGGCUGAGGCGUGAUGACGAGGCACUACGGUGCUGAAGCAACAAAUGCCCUGCUUCCAGGAAAAGCCUCUAAGCAUCAGGUAACAUCAAAUCGUACC